AGGACUCGAUUAUUUACAGACCGCCGCCAUAUAGCUGGAAUAUUGCUGAGUGUGGCGUAAAACUAAACUCACUCACUCACUCUCGUGUCUAAAUAAACGGUAAUGUUCAUGGUUCUGUGUGUUUCUCUGCCGACUGCAGGUUACACAGAACGACCAAAUGCAGUCUUCAUGGUGUGUGGCCAGAGAAGGUCGGAGCUAAGGAGUCCGACUGCAGGAUACUAAGUGAUGUUUCAUUGUGUAACCUGUGUCAUUUGUUAGCAUGUAUUAGGUUUGUCCACAUGUAGUGUAACUUCAAACACCCAACAGUGUUUGUAAAUUGUGAUCAAAUCAAAAUUAUUCUAUUGGUCUCGAAUAUUCACGUCAUUAUUAUAUCGUUUCUUUAACAUGUAUUUACAUGUUUUGUGUGUAUUAUAUUGUCCCAGGGUAUGUUUAUAGAACAGAAACCAAGGAUUUCACAUAUAUAAUGAUAAAAAGACUGAACUCCAUGGAUUUGACACUUUUGUUGUUUGCUAUAUGCAAAUGCAUAUGUAUGUGUUUCAUUUAUUCAUUGUCAUGUUGUGAUAUGUUGUGAAACUCGAGAAAUCCCCCUCUACUGCUUCAACAUUGGAGACUGGUAUAUUGAAGAGUUCUACAAGUUUGUUUAGAGACUAGUAUUAGAAACUAGUUCAAGUCACACAUUAAAUCUGCAGGUAUUCUGUAUGAAUAUACACCGACUCUUGGUAAUUACAUCAAUGGGUAUAUAGCGUCUACACAGCCACAUAUUAAAACACAUAUACUGACACUCAGACAAAUAGCAAGUGCACAUAUAUACUGUCGCCCAACACUGUAUGUGACGCACGACCUAGUUGAUUUGAGCGACAUGUACCCUGCAGUGAAUAUCCAGGUGUUUUCAAUGUCAUGUCUACACAGACACAUUGUACAAUCAACAAAGCUACACUGUCGCCCAACACUAUAUGUGACUCACGACCUAGUUGAUUUGAGCGACAUGUACCCUGUAGUGAAUAUCCAGGUGUUUUCAAUGCCAUGUCUACACAGGCACAAUCAUAAAAUCGAUAAAACUACACUGUCGCCCAACUCCACAGCCUGCUAAAUGUAUGUGUGACACUCGACCUACUUCUCUGAAUACCCGUCUGAAUGACACACAUCAAGCUAUACACAAACCACCAACAUGUCCAUGCUGUCUCUCCGUCUUAUCUUCACAGUUGGGACGCUACUGGUGGACAUUCCUCACAAUCAACGUGUUUCUGCCCAGAACUAUCAGCUGACGUCAUCAUGUGGAGGUUCUGUACAGGCAGGAGGAAGCUGUACCCUGAUGUGUUACACAGGAGAAGCUUCACAUACAACUAUACUGUGGCAGAAUGGAAGUUUAUUAUACAGAGUAAACCAGGGUAGCUGCAGCUCCACCUCCCUCCCGCUUCCAGCUGACUACACCACCUCCUGCCCCAGCUCCACCCAACUACACCCUCACCAUCAACAACGUCGUGUACGGCAGGGAUAGACUCAGCUGGAGGUGUGACUUUCAGUUUGGAGGCAGACCGAGUAACCAAAUACAGAUAGAUGUUCUUGUUCCUCUGAACAGUGUUAGCCUUACUAGAACUACUACGUCUAUUACCUGCGUCGCAGUCUCCAAUCCACCGCCGUCCAUGACGCUGUACAGAGACCAACCAGAGUGUCCACCAGCCCAGCAGCAGUAGAGGGAUACACUGGCUGGACAGACACCAUCAACUACCAGCUGACAGGCAACAGGAGGUACUCCCUGUACUACUGCCAGGCAUCAAACACAGAGACGAGAGUGAAUUCAUCAUAUUCCUUUCCUGACAGUAAGUAAUGUGGAUGUCUGUUUAGAUAACAGUUUGAUUUCCAACAGUAGGAACUCUCUGUACUACUGCCAGGCUUCCAACACUCAGUCUACAGUCAACUCUACUUAUUCCUUCCCUGACAGUAAGCACAUGUAUUGAUAUAUCCUGAACUGCCAUGCAUGCUGUUGAGAUACUUUUUGUAUCCCUACGAUAUUGACAUGUCGGGUAUGACCGGUAUUUACGAUAUUC
RNAcentral lists this long non-coding RNA (2048 nucleotides) under Haliotis rubra (blacklip abalone). RNAcentral describes it as "uncharacterized LOC124255662". The record is from RNAcentral. Lineage: Eukaryota; Metazoa; Mollusca; Gastropoda; Lepetellida; Haliotidae.